AUGGGGGAGAGAGAGCCCUCACUCCUGGCCCAGUCCCCUGAUGGUGCACUCUCUCUCAGGGGUAACAUCCCAGCGGGAAGCUGGAGGCACCAGCCCACCCUGGAGCAGCCCACUGUGUGGGGACUGUGUCUGCAGGAGCCUCUGACUAAACACGCAGGUGUAGUUCCAGUGACAGCACAGUGGGAGGACUGCCCAGCGCCAGGUCCCAAAUGUCCAUCCUUCUGCUUCACUGUAGACUGAGCAGCAUUUCCCGUGCUCUGUGGGUAGAAGGGCCCAGUUCCUUCUGGCACACAGACUCCAGGACACGGUGGGAAACGGAGCACCAGGAGGAGGAUGUGAAGCCAAAGUGAAAGGAGAGCUGGAGGUUUGCGCAAAAGCAACGGGGCAGGAGGUCCCAUCGCGGCUCAGCGGAAACGAAUCUGAAUAGCAUCCAUGAGGACACAGGUUCGAUCCCUGGCCUUGCUCAGUGGGUUAAAGAUCUGGCGUUGCCAUGAGCUGUGGUGUAGGUCACAGACCUGGCUCAGAUCUAGCGUUGCUAUGCCUGUGGUGUAGGCUGGCAGCUACAGUUCUGAUUCAACCCCUCGGUUGGGAACUUCCAUAUGCCAUGGGUGAGGCCCUUAAAAAAAAGCGGGGAAGGGAGUUCCUGUCGUGGUGCAGUGGUUAACGAAUCCGAAUAGGAACCACGAUGUUGGGGGUUCAAUCCCUGGCCUUGCUCAGUGGGUUAACGAUCCGGCAUUGCCGUGAAUUUUGGUGUAGGUCGCAGACACGGCUCCGAUCCCGAGUUGCUGUGGGGUCCGAUUCGACCCCUAGCCUGGGAACCUCCACAUGCCGCGGAAGCGGCCAAAGAAAUAGCAAAAAGACAAAAAACAAAAACAAAAAAAACGGGGAGGGCAAAGCACCUCAUGGACUAUAAACUGUCACUAUGUGCAGGCUUUAUCCUGUAUGCUUUACAUUUAAUCCUCAUGAGAACUCUGCACCCCCAUUUUGCAGAUGAAGAAACAGGCACAGAGAGGGUAAGUAACUUGUCAGAAUUUUCACAGCUAGCACCUGCUUGAGCCAGGACUUGAACCUGGGCACGCUGACACCAAGAGGCCCUGCGCUUUACUGUUGCACCAGGCAGCGAUCUGGUGACCCCAGGGAAAGUUCCCACAAAAUGUUUCUCACCCACGUAGAGUCAUCUGGCAAAAAUAGAGCUGGAGGAGGUGGCAAGAGUCUAGUCCUACUCCCAACUCAGCUAUUAAUGUUCCACUCAAAUCCCAACAAGGCAUCUGGAAGCGGUCUGGGUCUUGGCAUCCUGGGGUAAUUUGGGGUGGGGGCGGGGUGGGGCAGUCGCAGCGGGUGAAGUUUAAGAGAGGCUUCAAUUCCAAUGUGAAAAACGUCCCCCUGAAAUCAAGAGUUUUCCCACCGACACUAGGUGGUGGUUUGUGUAGGUCAGUAGAGACAGAUCUAGAGGAAGUUGGAGGCUUCCAAAUCAGAGAAAAGUUGUUUUGCAAAAUAUUUUCAAAGACGAAGCGAACUUGUUAAAAACAAUGGAGGCAUUUUCUCUUCUUUCCAAAGGAAAUGAUUCAACCGAACCAAAGGUCACUUAACGAAAGAGACGAAUUCAAUCACGUUAGAAACAUUAGAGAUUCUGCAACUCUUCACAGCCAGCUGGAGAAACAGCCCUGGGCUUCUGCUGUGUGUGUGUGUGUGUGUGUGUGUGUGUGUGUGUGUGUGUGUGUGUGUGUGUGUGUGUGUGUUCCUUCUAGAGGAUUCUGCUCAAAACUACCUACAUGUUGAAUUCGUUGAGGUACGUGUGGCUGAAAUCUCAGCUGCGUCUGUCCACCGAUGCCACCUAGAAACACGGAGACAAGAGUUGGAGGAAACAGAACUAGAAGCUUUAAUUGCCAGGCAAAGAGGGAACACAGCAGGCUAGUGCCUCCAGGUCUGUGCUCGCCCCUAGAGGGGGUAGUGAGGAGUCUUAUGGUAUUUGAGGAGCAGGGCGUGAUCAGCUCAUGGACAUUUUUCUGAUCCGUGGGUGGUGAGAUAAUUGGAGUCAGCAUCGUCAGCCUUCUGGUUCCCACGCGUGCUUGUGGGCAGCAUAAAAAAGUUGACUUCUUCUACCCAGUGGGGCUUCAGCACCUGCAAAAGAGCUGCAAGGACACGGCUCAGAAUAUUAUCUAUAGUCUUUGAAGAACUGAAGGUCCUUGACUUUGUUGAAUGGCUGAAUUAUUAUUACUGUUUUCUUUUUUCUAUGUAUUUUUUCACUUCCCGCAUUAAAUUGGUUCUUGGACUAAAGUUUUUCUAUAAAUAAACAGGCAGGUGGAGGACA
Molecule: long non-coding RNA, 2311 nt
Filed under: Sus scrofa (pig)
Lineage: Eukaryota; Metazoa; Chordata; Mammalia; Artiodactyla; Suidae
Description: lncRNA (ENSSSCG00040003128.1)
Source: RNAcentral